AAAGAAAGAAGGAAAGAAAGAAAGAAAGAAAGAGAGAGAGAGAAAGAAAGCUUUUUAUGAUCCUCAAUCAACUGUAAAAAGGUCGUUUUGGGUUAGUUUGUUUCUUUUCUUUUCUUUUGGGUUUCUCUAAAU
RNAcentral lists this non-coding RNA (132 nucleotides) under Aurantiochytrium limacinum. Lineage: Eukaryota; Bigyra; Thraustochytrida; Thraustochytriidae. The record is from RNAcentral.